Molecule: ribosomal RNA, 253 nt
Filed under: uncultured bacterium
Lineage: Bacteria
Description: partial 16S ribosomal RNA
Rfam family: Bacterial small subunit ribosomal RNA
Source: RNAcentral
UACAGAGGUCUCAAGCGUUGUUCGGAUUCAUUGGGCGUAAAGGGUGCGUAGGUGGCGGGGUAAGUCAGGUGUGAAAUCUCGAGGCUCAACCUCGAAACUGCACUUGAUACUGCCUUGCUGGAGUACUGGAGAGGAGAUUGGAAUUUACGGUGUAGCAGUGAAAUGCGUAGAUAUCGUAAGGAAGACCAGUGGCGAAGGCGGGUCUCUGGACAGUUCCUGACGCUGAGGCACGAAGGUCAGGGGAGCAAACGGG